ACGCUUUCGCUCCUCAGCGUCAGUUACAGACCAGAGAGUCGCCUUCGCCACUGGUGUUCCUCCACAUCUCUACGCAUUUCACCGCUACACGUGGAAUUCCACUCUCCUCUUCUGCACUCAAGUUCCCCAGUUUCCAAUGACCCUCCCCGGUUGAGCCGGGGGCUUUCACAUCAGACUUAAGAAACCGCCUGCGAGCCCUUUACGCCCAAUAAUUCCGGACAACGCUUGCCACCUACGUAUUACCGCGGCUGCUGGCACGUAGUUAGCCGUGGCUUUCUGGUUAGGUACCGUCAAGGUACCGCCCUAUUCGAACGGUACUUGUUCUUCCCUAACAACAGAGCUUUACGAUCCGAAAACCUUCAUCACUCACGCGGCGUUGCUCCGUCAGACUUUCGUCCAUUGCGGAAGAUUCCCUACUGCUGCCUCCCGUAGGAGUCUGGGCCGUGUCUCAGUCCCAGUGUGGCCGAUCACCCUCUCAGGUCGGCUACGCAUCGUUGCCUUGGUGAGCCGUUACCUCACCAACUAGCUAAUGCGCCGCGGGUCCAUCUGUAAGUGGUAGCCGAAGCCACCUUUUAUGUUUGAACCAUGCGGGUCAAACAACCAUCCGGUAUUAGCCCCNGGUUNCCGGAGUUAUCCCANUCUUACANGCAGGGUACCCACGUGUUACUCACCCGUCCGCCGNUACAUCAGGGAGCAAGCUCCAUCUGUCCGCUCGACUUCAUGUAUAAGCACGCCGCAGCGUUCGUCCUGAGCCANGAUAAAACUUAA
Molecule: ribosomal RNA, 768 nt
Filed under: Bacillus subtilis
Lineage: Bacteria; Bacillati; Bacillota; Bacilli; Caryophanales; Bacillaceae
Description: partial 16S ribosomal RNA
Source: RNAcentral